Molecule: ribosomal RNA, 497 nt
Filed under: uncultured bacterium
Lineage: Bacteria
Description: partial 16S ribosomal RNA
Rfam family: Bacterial small subunit ribosomal RNA
Source: RNAcentral
GAUGAACGCUGGCGGCGUGCCUAAUACAUGCCAGUCGAGCGAACAGACGAGGAGCUUGCUCCUCUGACGUUAGCGGCGGACGGGUGAGUAACACGUGGAUAACCUACCUAUAAGACUGGGAUCACUUCGGGAAACCGGAGCUAAUACCGGAUAAUAUAUUGAACCGCAUGGUUCAAUAGUGAAAGACGGUUUUGCUGUCACUUAUAGAUGGAUCCGCGCCGCAUUAGCUAGUUGGUAAGGUAACGGCUUACCAAGGCAACGAUGCGUAGCCGACCUGAGAGGGUGAUCGGCCACACUGGAACUGAGACACGGUCCAGACUCCUACGGGAGGCAGCAGUAGGGAAUCUUCCGCAAUGGGCGAAAGCCUGACGGAGCAACGCCGCGUGAGUGAUGAAGGUCUUCGGAUCGUAAAACUCUGUUAUUAGGGAAGAACAAAUGUGUAAGUAACUAUGCACGUCUUGACGGUACCUAAUCAGAAAGCCACGGCUAACUACGUG